CAGUCAUCAAGCGUGCAUGGCAGAAGUGGAGAGGGAUCGAUAAAGUUUCACUGCAGAAAGUCUCCACUGCGGUAUGCUGACAUCUGCCCUGAACCUUCGCCCUACAGCAUUACAGGCUUUAAUCAGAUUCUGCUGGAAAGACACAGGCUGAUCCACGUGACCUCUUCUGCCUUCACUGGGCUGGGGUGAUCCUUGGUGCCUUUGUUUCCACAAGGCCUUUUCCUGCCCCCUGCCUUGCCAAAGACAUUUAAUCAGCACACAGCUGCCAGACUAUUCCCACAGUGCUCCAAAUGCACAUGAACAACAGUGACGGCUCCAGCCCUCGACCCAGAGCCCCGUGCCCAGUGCGUCAGUGGGCCUGGGGUUCCAGGCUACAUCAAGCACGGAUGGUGUCAGGGCUGGUAGUUACCAAACCAGGGUUAAGAAACAUCAGGGCCACAUUUCAUUACCUUCACAGAUCAAACUCAGCAGCAGUCAUGACUGUCUGUCACUACAUUGGGGAUCCCAAUUCCACAUAAGCACUUUUGGAAGAAAACAGCCAAAGUUGGCCUAAAAUUGGCGCUGGAAUUUGGGCUGGGAAAAAUCUUGUGGUUACUUUCUUUAAAAAGGAACAAAACUUUAGUAUUUAAUUAGUUGAUCUAUUUAAUGUAAUUUCAAACAAUUAAAUUAUGAAUAAUGCAAUGUACAGUAGAAUCACGUUUUGAUUUUAUUAACACUGACCAAGUUUAACUCCAUAUGAAGUGUAAGCUUGGUAUCGUUUAUGAUGUCUAUCAACUGUACCAAAAGUAAAACAUUUAAAAACAAUCACCUGAAUGUCAAGUUUUCUCUCCAUAAAGGACUUGCCACCUUAAGGACCCCACGUCUGCCUGAAACAUGAGCCACAUCAAUGCCGGUAAAGGCCUGCAUGACCUAAUCUGCAUCCUGGAAACCUCUUUUGCCUGAGCUCCCCCGCCCCCCACUAGCUGGUCUCCUGGGAGAGGGAGCAGGCAGGUUCCGGGAGUCAAGCACACGCUUGAGCAAGUAGCACAAUAAUCUAUCUUAAGACUCCUCAUUCUGGGAUGGCUCCACAAUUCCUAAACAGCAGUCUGCAAACUCCACAAACAAAGGCUCUUGCAUGUAAGCUCUCAUGAGCUUUGCUUUGUCUUCUCCCUGAUCGAGGUUGACCAUCAACUGCCUGAGGUGUGGAUUGAGUAAUAAGCUUCUUAAUGUUGCAGAUUCCCCUAAAAAUUAACAAGAAAAAAAGCCAGUCUGAGUUCAAGUGGAAACACAUGGAGAUGGCUGAAAAGUGAAGAACUAUUUCAAGUGUAAUAAAACUAUCAGCAAGGUGUGGUGGCUCAUGCCUG
Molecule: long non-coding RNA, 1343 nt
Filed under: Pan troglodytes (chimpanzee)
Lineage: Eukaryota; Metazoa; Chordata; Mammalia; Primates; Hominidae
Description: long non-coding RNA NONPTRT006754
Source: RNAcentral